This 549-nucleotide unclassified non-coding RNA is filed under the name Hevea brasiliensis (rubber tree). Lineage: Eukaryota; Viridiplantae; Streptophyta; Magnoliopsida; Malpighiales; Euphorbiaceae. The record is from RNAcentral.
GGAUUGGGAAUAUUCACACAUUUUUCCAAGUCGAAUUUUCAGGAUAACAAACAGAUAACUAAAGGAAAGAAGAGAAAGAAAUCACCACCGCCGAUCGGAAUCAUUGGGAAUCAUUUUGAAGAAGCGGUUCAAGAACAGCCGAUCUAGGGUUCUUCAUCGGAGGUCCUUUUUCUCUUCGUUCCAGCUCCUCCAAUCUAAACGUUAUCAAUCGAUCCCAGUUUCCUCCUUCGAAAAGAACCCCAGCCUUUCCAUCUGUGAUUCUCUGAACGAUUCCACAAUACAUGUAGUACGGAUUGUUCGGAUUCUUAACGAUCGCGAUCAUUCCCGGCAGCAGCAGCGGAAGAUCUGGCGGCUUUGGUUUCUGCGAACUCAGAAUCGCGCUGGUUUCGCCGGAAUUUGAACCGGAAGGCUUCGGAGGAGGAGGAGGAGGAUUUUCCGAUAUGAAUUUUCUCAAUCCCUUUUCUCCGCCAGGAAAUCCACCCGUUAAGCCCAUCAAUUCCUUCUCGAAUCCAUCUUCCGGAACCGUAUCGACGGCUAAUUUCUCGGAGG